GACGAACGCUGGCGGCGCGCUUAACACAUGCAAGUCGAACGGAAAGGCCUGCUUUCCCUUGUGGAUUGCGGGUACUCGAGUGGCGAACGGGUGAGUAACACGUGAGUGAUCUGCCCCCAACUUGGGUAUAAGCCUGGGAAACUGGGUCUAAUUCCCGAUAGGACUGCAGGGUGGUGCCUGUGGUGGAAAACGAUUUUCUAGUGGUUGGGGAUGAGCUCGCGGCCUAUCAGCUUGUUGGUGGGGUAAUGGCCUACCAAGGCGGCGACGGGUAGCCGGCCUGAGAGGGUGGGCGGCCACAUUGGGACUGAGAUACGGCCCAGACUCCUACGGGAGGCAGCAGUGGGGAAUAUUGCACGAUGGGCGGAAGCCUGAUGCAGCGACGCCGCGUGGGGGAUGACGGCCUUCGGGUUGUAAACUCCUUUCGACCGCGAGGAAGCCACCUGGUUGGAAGGGUGGUGACGGUAGUGGUAGAAGAAGCACCGGCUAACUACGUG
RNAcentral lists this ribosomal RNA (494 nucleotides) under uncultured bacterium. Its description in RNAcentral is "partial 16S ribosomal RNA". It matches the Rfam family "Bacterial small subunit ribosomal RNA", at positions 28 to 507 of the family's 1533-position model. The record is from RNAcentral.